RNAcentral lists this ribosomal RNA (876 nucleotides) under uncultured Nitrososphaerota archaeon. RNAcentral describes it as "bacterial SSU rRNA". It matches the Rfam family "Archaeal small subunit ribosomal RNA", at positions 1 to 884 of the family's 1478-position model. Lineage: Archaea; Thermoproteati; Nitrososphaerota. The record is from RNAcentral.
UUCCGGUUGAUCCUGCCGGACCUGACUGCUAUCGGAUUGAUACUAAGCCAUGCGAGUCAUUGUAGCAAUACAAGGCAGACGGCUCAGUAACGCGUAGUCAAUCUACCCUAUGGACGGGAAUAACCUCGGGAAACUGAGAAUAAUGCCCGAUAGAACAUUAUGCCUGGAAUGGUUUAUGUUUCAAAUGAUUUAUCGCCAUAGGAUGGGACUGCGGCCUAUCAGUUUGUUGGUUAGGUAAUGGCCCACCAAGACUAUUACAGGUACGGGCUCUGAGAGGAGUAGCCCGGAGAUGGGUACUGAGACACGGACCCAGGCCCUAUGGGGCGCAGCAGGCGAGAAAACUUUGCAAUGUGCGAAAGCACGACAAGGUUAAUCCGAGUGGUUUCUGCUAAAGAAACCUUUUGUCAGUCCUAGAAACACUAACGAAUAGGGGGUGGGCAAGUUCUGGUGUCAGCCGCCGCGGUAAAACCAGCACCUCAAGUGGUCAGGAUGAUUAUUGGGCCUAAAGCAUCCGUAGCUCGUUUUGUAAGUUUUCGGUUAAAUCCAUGCGCUUAACGUAUGGGCUGCCGGGAAUACUGCAUAACUAGGAAGUGGGAGAGGUAGACGGUACUCGGGAGGAAGGGGUAAAAUCCUUUGAUCUCUUGAUGACCACCUGUGGCGAAGGCGGUCUACCAGAACACGUUCGACGGUGAGGGAUGAAAGCUGGGGGAGCAAACCGGAUUAGAUACCCGGGUAGUCCCAGCUGUAAACUAUGCAAACUCAGUGAUGCAUUGGCUUAUGGCCAAUGCAGUGCUGCAGGGAAGCCGUUAAGUUUGCCGCCUGGGAAGUACGUACGCAAGUAUGAAACUUAAAGGAAUUGGCGGGGGAGCACCACAA